Molecule: ribosomal RNA, 468 nt
Filed under: uncultured bacterium
Lineage: Bacteria
Description: partial 16S ribosomal RNA
Rfam family: Bacterial small subunit ribosomal RNA
Source: RNAcentral
GACGAACGCUGGCGGCGUGCUUAACACAUGCAAGUCGAACGGAAAGGCCCUGCUUUUGUGGGGUGCUCGAGUGGCGAACGGGUGAGUAACACGUGAGUAACCUGCCCUUGACUUUGGGAUAACUUCAGGAAACUGGGGCUCAUACCGGAUAGGAGCUCCUGCUGCAUGGUGGGGGUUGGAAAGUUUCGGCGGUUGGGGAUGGACUCGCGGCUUAUCAGCUUGUUGGUGGGGUAGUGGCUUACCAAGGCUUUGACGGGUAGCCGGCCUGAGAGGGUGACCGGCCACAUUGGGACUGAGAGACGGCCCAGACUCCUACGGGAGGCAGCAGUGGGGAAUAUUGCACAAUGGGCGGAAGCCUGAUGCAGCAACGCCGCGUGCGGGAUGACGGCCUUCGGGUUGUAAACCGCUGUCGCCUGUGACGAAGCGUGAGUGACGGUAAUGAGUAAAGAAGCACCGGCUAACUACGUG